This is a long non-coding RNA of Amphibalanus amphitrite, 3177 nucleotides long. RefSeq lists it as uncharacterized. Lineage: Eukaryota; Metazoa; Arthropoda; Thecostraca; Balanomorpha; Balanidae. The record is from RefSeq and is a predicted model, not a curated record. The transcript has 2 exons.
AGAUUUGCUCCGUGCACUACAGCCGCUAUCGUCGUGUGCGCCUUAGGUGGUGCGCGUGCAAAGGAUCCAUCCUCCGGCGAGCGGUGACGUUAAAUGCCGAUAUCUAUUACCGGAAUUUCCCUUCACACGUUGGCUGAAUGGGAUUGUGUCCGUGCCAGUGGCGCUGUAUCGGUCCGGGCCGUGCGCCGGUCGCUCCCUUUGUGACGGCGAUUCAUUCUGUUUGGCGCAUUGUCGCCGCCCGGUGCCCGGCGACGAGCCGCACCUUUUCAAGAUAGCAGAAGGCUGGCGAAGAAUAAAUCUGACAGAGGCGGUGAUAAGAUAAUCAAGCACAGUGUGCGCCUCGUCGCCAACAUUUGGCGCCGCCAAUCAGCGUCGAUUCACACGGGAAGAGUAUCCGCCGGACGGGUCCGGAUGCCGCCUCUGUCACUGGCGUGUCCGAUCGGCGGGACGGGCCGGCGGCGUUCGCGGCAGCUGCCGUCGCCUCGCUGUCUACCGCCGCCAAUAUAACACCGUCCCAACGAGGCACCGGGCCGGGGCGGGACGUGUCGCGCCGCUGACACCUGCCCCUGUCCCCGCCGGCAGCCCACGCCGAGACAUCAUCAUCAAUGGCCGGGCGCCCCCCGCCGCUGCGCAGGGCACGCCGCGGGGGACGAGCCGCCGCCGACCAGCGCGUCAAUGAGACGAUCCUUGGCGGCGGCAAUGGCGGCGCAGCGGGGCGCCGAGUGGGACAAACUCGUCGCGCGGCCGGCCCGCGAACUGUCUCUGACCGCCUCUCCGAGUCGCCGCGCGUCAAUAUUUGAACGCCAGCCGGACCGGCACCGGCGGAGCGGUACAAAGCGACCGCCGCCGUCACAGACACCGGACGGUGAGAGACUCUGCUGGGUGUCAGCGGUGGACCCGGGCUGGCCGUCUCACUAUGGGCCAGAGUCAUCACUCAGAGAAGGGAUCGGUAGCUUGGCGGCCUCCUCAAUGAUAUCUGAGCAGCGUGUAGUAUCGAUCAAAGAAAACACAAUCAACAGAAGAGAAUCGAUGUCUGCUUUACGCAGCGGCUUGCCCGACCGGCUUGUUCACCGUCUGGCUGAACAUCUGGGAAACAUCUUCGUAGAAAUCCCGAGAUGACGUCGAUCUCGUGUGCGUAGUGAUACAGGCCUCUGAGAACAGAACACGCCGACGCGACCGAACAAACACAGACAGCUGUCCGCAUCAUCGUCCUUCCGUUCACACGGCGGAGACACAAGACUAGGUAUAGAAGGACCCUGUCGUGCCGCGAUAACCAGCGCCGCAGGAACGGAUGACAUAAACCAGUGUCAACAGAUUCUGCAGAAGCAAUGUCGCCCUUAUGCGGCACAGUCGGACGCCGGAAAGCCCGCAGUCUUGGCCGGCUAGCGAAUCUGCCAAGUACAAACCACGAUGAGGCUUUUGAAGUUGCCGCCGGGUGUGUCAUAUCCCCUGAAGCCUGGCUGUAUAGCUAGCUCCCGAUGUGCUAUCGGCUAUCACAGGCGAUGGGCUGAAGCACUUUCGGGGCUUAGAGGCAGAUCACAUUGUAGACAGCCCCCUUGAAGAUCUCUUGACGACAUAGCGCUGGUGACUGCGAUGGCCGCGGAUCAUCCCGAGCCGCAUGGCUACUGAUUUUACUUUGACCCAGCCGACCGCCGCCCACGGCAGAUGCUCCGCUGCCGCCACCAUCUGCGGUCCAUCAGCUCUAUCUGUUUGCGCGGCUCUCGUGCGCUAAUCGUCGGCGCCGCGCCGUCACACACACGGUCACGGUGUCAGGCCGUGGCGGCGAUAUCUGUCGAGUGGCGCCACCGGCCGCUAUCUAGCCCAUCUGCCGGCCGUUUAUGGCCGCCACUGCACACUGUGCACAUCAUCAGACACUGAUUAGCGUAUAAUCACCGCCGCCCCCGCCCCCGCCCCCGCCCCCGCCCUGGCGGCUCUCCCGCCGAGGCGACGGUCCCCCUAACCCCGGGUAGGCCAGACGGGGAGUGGCAGACGCCGCGACCGAGGGAUUACAGGGAUGAACGGGGGCUAACCGGGCACUAUCUAACUCCGAAUGCAGUAUAUCAGCAAUGCUUUACUGCCGGGUGAUAUAAGCUCAGACUUAUCAAACGGUACCGUGCUGAAUAUGCAGCCUUUAGAACAUCCCGAGCUGCACCACUCCGAGGCCCAUUAACCGCAGUUCAAACAUGACUGCGGUUUCUCACAAGUCGGCGCAGUUCGCGGUGCGUUCCGUCCACAUAGACUGUUUUGCCGAUUCAUUCUUGGCCGCCGGCUGGCAAACUGCCGGAGGCCGCCGGCGGUCGGAGCUACGAGCUCGGGGGAGGGUCGAGACUGAAUGGAGAGCUCCUCAGGCUGUUUGAACCAGUCCAAUCAUCCUGCAUACACACCGACACACACACACACACACACGUGCGCGCGCACAGGGGAAACUGGGCCUGGCCGUCUGAGUCUGGUAGUGCGGCGUUUACAUACCUCGGUCUGCUUUGCCAGCUUCAACGCUAAGGCAGCCCCUUGACAGGUCACACUGCCAGGUGUGUUCAAAUUUACCACCAUGUCUCGAAAAAGACAGGACGGGGCAGACGAUGAGAGGGCGGAUGUUAGACUUAUCAGCGGCCCGGUCAGUGCUGAGGACAUGGAUACUGAGAAGUGAGAACUCGGAGAAGACACUCUUCAAGGACGUGUGAGUCGGCAGGAAACGGUGCCGAUUGCCUUGAGUCUUCAUUUAGCAGAAUCUCGCGGUGUUCGUCACAGACCUGACGAACCGGUGUUGUUUGUCUGGCGUCAAUAUUUGCCGAGUUUGCAUCCCUUUGUCGGUGGCUGCUGCGUAUUGCCUAUCUCCUAUACCGUCUAGCGUUUCGCUGACCUCUCCAGUGACUCUCCGUCCCUCCUUCUCCCUCAAGCCCACGCGCUCUCCCAUGUGUCUGUCUUCCUCGGCCGACGUCCGCGCGCGCCGCGCACUGUUUGUCUGUGUUUGUCGGCGUGUUUGUGUGUAUCUGUGUAUCCCAGCGAAGCCGAGAUGUUAGUCCGAAGAGCGGCAAACCGCACUGGGCUGUUGACUACCGGCUUAGAUCAUUGUUUAAUAGCGGCGCGGCGCGGGCGGCGGCGCAGCGGCGGAGGCGGCGGUGCCUCUGUGGCCUCUAUCGGUCGUGUACAUUGGUGAACAGCUCGCGUCUGCCUGUG